ACGUAGGGGGCUAGCGUUAUCCGGAAUUACUGGGCGUAAAGGGUGCGUAGGUGGUUUCUUAAGUCAGAGGUGAAAGGCUACGGCUCAACCGUAGUAAGCCUUUGAAACUGGGAAACUUGAGUGCAGGAGAGGAGAGUGGAAUUCCUAGUGGGGCGGCCAACAGCAUAGAUAGGGGGAGUGACGCCCGUCGCGAGAGGGAACCACGGGGCUGUAACUAACACUGAGGCUGGAAGCUGUUGGGAGGAAAAAG
Molecule: ribosomal RNA, 250 nt
Filed under: uncultured prokaryote
Description: partial 16S rRNA
Rfam family: Bacterial small subunit ribosomal RNA
Source: RNAcentral